GACGAACGCUGGCGGCGUGCCUAACACAUGCAAGUGGAGCGACGAACCAGGGCUUGCCCUGGGGCAAAGCCGCGAACGGGUGAGUAACACGUGGGUAACCUGCCCCGAUGACCGGGACAACCCGAGGAAACUCGGGCUAAUACCGGAUGUGCUCUUCACACAUCCGUGUGUUGAGUAAAGGAAGCUUCGGCCUCCGCUUCGGGAGGGGCCCGCGGCCCAUUAGCUAGUUGGUGAGGUAAAGGCUCACCAAGGGAACGAUGGGUAGCUGGUCUGAGAGGACGAUCAGCCACACUGGGACCGAGACACGGCCCAGACUCCUACGGGAGGCAGCAGUGGGGAAUCUUGCGCAAUGCGCGAAGGCUUGACGCAGCAACGCCGCGUGGGGGAAGAAGGCCUUCGGGUUGUAAACCCCUUUCAGGAGGGACGAAGGUUCGGCCGCGAAUAGCGGUCCGGACUGACGGUACCUCCAGAGGAAGCCCCGGCUAACUACGUGCCAGCCGCCGCAGUAA
RNAcentral lists this ribosomal RNA (509 nucleotides) under uncultured bacterium. Its description in RNAcentral is "partial 16S ribosomal RNA". It matches the Rfam family "Bacterial small subunit ribosomal RNA", at positions 28 to 523 of the family's 1533-position model. The record is from RNAcentral.